CUGCGGGCUCCUGCGGGCUCCUGCGGGCUCGCAGUGCUUUGCUGGGGCUGACGCUGAACAGCCCCGCCGGCCCCGUUUUACAGGCGCGGAAAUUGAGUUCCGGGAAAGGCAGGGCCCGGAAUGACUCUGCUUCCGACAGUAUUGGAACCCUUCAACAGCGCCGUGCAUACACAGGAAAGGGACCAACGACCUUUCAUCUGGCCCAUGCAAUGGGAUCUCCACUCAGCAGCUACAGGGGUCUAUAAUUCAGCCCACGCCUACUUAAAAACUUCUCGGUUAUACUUCAUUAAAACCCACCUCCUCACCGGAUAACGCCAAGAUUCUGCUGGAUUUGGUCUCUCUUCCUAUUUGGGCCGCUUUUUCCCUGGCCCAUUCUAACCCAGCAGGUUUCAUUUCGUAUCCUAACUUGACCUAAUUUCCUCAUUUUACCCUGUUGUGUUUUCUUCGUAGAACCUAAUGCUACCUGAGAUUAUUUCAUGUAUUUGUUCAUAUAUAUGUUAUGUUCCUCCACCCUGAGAGUUCCUCGAAAGCAGAGGUUUCAUCUUUUUUCAAAAACAUUUAUCCAGGGCUGGGGUUGUGGCUCAGUGGCAGAG
RNAcentral lists this long non-coding RNA (593 nucleotides) under Marmota monax (woodchuck). The record is from RNAcentral. Lineage: Eukaryota; Metazoa; Chordata; Mammalia; Rodentia; Sciuridae.